Long non-coding RNA from Helianthus annuus (common sunflower), 507 nucleotides. RefSeq lists it as uncharacterized. The record is from RefSeq and is a predicted model, not a curated record. The transcript is spliced from 2 exons. NCBI's taxonomy places the organism in Eukaryota, Viridiplantae, Streptophyta, Magnoliopsida, Asterales, Asteraceae.
GACACCACACAUACAUAGUCAGUAAAAGAGAACGAGAUGGUGAAAGCGAACAGGCACUCUGCAGAGAAGGAAGGGAGAGCGACGAAGAGACUGAGUGGAAAGGGGAGUCGGUCAAGAGUUUUCCGUCGAACCCAUAGGGUUCUGACGAUAGUGGUGACGCAGAACCAGGCGGCAGCGACGAUAAGGUAUGAGAGGCUGCGAGGGCUGCGAGGGUGAUGGUGUUGAUUCGAGUACGCUGAUCGGUGAUUUUGGUUCAAGAGGUGGCGUGCAGAAACAGAUUCCGACGAAGGCUCCGGUUCCGGCGAAGAUCCGGGAAAAACUGGUAUUUACGAGUCGAUAUGUUGGUUCAAAAUCGGAGUUUACCCUUCUAAAACAUCAACAACUAAAUUAAACACUUUGAAAGAUAAUAUGCAGUAAAACACGAUGCUUGAAGGUGAGUGUUAAAUUUGUUGUUAAUUUCACUUUAGGUGUUUGAUUUUAUGCCCCAAAGAAGUCGAAUUCCUUUAA